AUUGAACGCUAGCGGGAUGCUUUACACAUGCAAGUCGAACGGCAGCGCGGACUUCGGUCUGGCGGCGAGUGGCGAACGGGUGAGUAAUGUAUCGGAACGUGCCCAGUAGCGGGGGAUACCUCCGCGAAAGCGUAGCUAAUACCGCAUACGCUCUACGGGGGAAAGCAGGGGACCGUAAGACCUUGCACUAUUGGAGCGGCCGAUAUCUGAUUAGCUAGUUGGUGUGGUUACGGCUCACCAAGGCGACGAUCCGUAGCUGGUUGGAGAUGACGACCAGCCACACUGGGAGUGAGACAACGCCCAGACUCCUGCGGGAGUGAGCAGUGGGGAAUUUUGGAUAAAGGGGGCAGACCUGAUCCAGGCCUUCCGAGUGUGGGAUGAAGGCCCUCCGGUGGUAAAGGACUUUUGGCAGGAAAGAAACUGGGCGGGCUAGUAUCCCGCGGAACUCACGGUACCUGCAGAAUAAGCAGGCGCUGAUUUGGUG
This 484-nucleotide ribosomal RNA is filed under the name uncultured bacterium. RNAcentral's name for it is "partial 16S ribosomal RNA". It matches the Rfam family "Bacterial small subunit ribosomal RNA", at positions 30 to 507 of the family's 1533-position model. The record is from RNAcentral.